Molecule: ribosomal RNA, 276 nt
Filed under: uncultured Nitrosomonadales bacterium
Lineage: Bacteria; Pseudomonadati; Pseudomonadota; Betaproteobacteria; Nitrosomonadales
Description: partial 16S ribosomal RNA
Rfam family: Bacterial small subunit ribosomal RNA
Source: RNAcentral
UAAUACGUAGGGUGCGAGCGUUAAUCGGAAUUACUGGGCGUAAAGGGUGCGCAGGCGGUUCUGUAAGUCAGAUGUGAAAUCCCCGGGCUUAACCUGGGAACUGCGUUUGAAACUACAGAGCUAGAGUGUGGCAGAGGGGGGUGGAAUUCCAUGUGUAGCAGUGAAAUGCGUAGAGAUAUGGAGGAACAUCGAUGGCGAAGGCAGCCCCCUGGGUUAACACUGACGCUCAUGCACGAAAGCGUGGGGAGCAAACAGGAUUAGAUACCCUGGUAGUCC